Molecule: ribosomal RNA, 265 nt
Filed under: uncultured bacterium
Lineage: Bacteria
Description: partial 16S ribosomal RNA
Rfam family: Bacterial small subunit ribosomal RNA
Source: RNAcentral
ACCGGCGCACGGGUGAGUAACACGUAUGCAACCUGCCCUCCGCAGGGGGAUAACCCGGAGAAAUCCGGACUAAUACCGCGUGGUACACCAGUGGGGCAUCCCACGGGUGUUAAAAGGAAGCGAUUCCGGCGGAGGAUGGGCAUGCGGCGCAUUAGCUUGUUGGCGGGGUAACGGCCCACCAAGGCGACGAUGCGUAGGGGUUCUGAGAGGAAGGUCCCCCACACUGGUACUGAGACACGGAUCAGACUCCUACGGGAGGCAGCAG